CAAGUCGAACGAGCGAGAGAGAGCUUGCUUUCUCGAGCGAGUGGCGAACGGGUGAGUAACGCGUGAGGAACCUGCCUCAAAGAGGGGGACAACAGUUGGAAACGACUGCUAAUACCGCAUAAGCCCACAGCUCGGCAUCGAGCAGAGGGAGAAGGAGCAAUCCGCUUUGAGAUGGCCUCGCGUCCGAUUAGCUAGUUGGUGAGGUAACGGCCCACCAAGGCGACGAUCGGUAGCCGGACUGAGAGGUUGAACGGCCACAUUGGGACUGAGACACGGCCCAGACUCCUACGGGAGGCAGCAGUGGGGAAUAUUGCACAAUGGGGGAAACCCUGAUGCAGCGACGCCGCGUGGAGGAAGAAGGUCUUCGGAUUGUAAACUCCUGUUGUUGAGGAAGAUAAUGACGGUACUCAACAAGGAAGUGACGGCUAACUACGUGCCAGCAGCCGCGGUAAAACGUAGGUCACAAGCGUUGUCCGGAAUUACUGGGUGUAAAGGGAGCGCAGGCGGGAAGACAAGUUGGAAGUGAAAUCCAUGGGCUCAACCCAUGAACUGCUUUCAAAACUGUUUUUCUUGAGUAGUGCAGAGGUAGGCGGAAUUCCCGGUGUAGCGGUGGAAUGCGUAGAUAUCGGGAGGAACACCAGUGGCGAAGGCGGCCUACUGGGCACCAACUGACGCUGAGGCUCGAAAGUGUGGGUAGCAAACAGGAUUAGAUACCCUGGUAGUCCACACUGUAAACGAUGAUUACUAGGUGUUGGAGGAUUGACCCCUUCAGUGCCGCAGUUAACACAAUAAGUAAUCCACCUGGGGAGUACGACCGCAAGGUUGAAACUCAAAGGAAUUGACGGGGGCCCGCACAAGCAGUGGAGUAUGUGGUUUAAUUCGACGCAACGCGAAGAACCUUACCAAGUCUU
This 911-nucleotide ribosomal RNA is filed under the name uncultured bacterium. RNAcentral describes it as "bacterial SSU rRNA". It matches the Rfam family "Bacterial small subunit ribosomal RNA", at positions 58 to 982 of the family's 1533-position model. The record is from RNAcentral.